UAGCUCAGUGAUAGAGCAUGUGCUUAGAGUGCACCGGGUCCUGGGUUCAAUCCCCAG
This 57-nucleotide transfer RNA is filed under the name Camelus bactrianus (Bactrian camel). It matches the Rfam family "tRNA", at positions 8 to 63 of the family's 71-position model. Rfam says of the family: Transfer RNA (tRNA) molecules are approximately 80 nucleotides in length. Their secondary structure includes four short double-helical elements and three loops (D, anti-codon, and T loops). Lineage: Eukaryota; Metazoa; Chordata; Mammalia; Artiodactyla; Camelidae. RNAcentral also lists the same sequence under 1 other name. The record is from Rfam by way of RNAcentral.